RNAcentral lists this ribosomal RNA (257 nucleotides) under uncultured prokaryote. RNAcentral's name for it is "partial 16S ribosomal RNA". It matches the Rfam family "Archaeal small subunit ribosomal RNA", at positions 471 to 728 of the family's 1478-position model. The record is from RNAcentral.
UAAUACCAGCACCCCGAGUGGUCGGGACGAUUAUUGGGCCUAAAGCAUCCGUAGCCGGUACUGCAAGUCUUCCGUUAAAUCCACCUGCUCAACAGUUGGGCUGCGGAGGAUACUACAGCGCUAGGAGGCGGGAGAGGCAAGCGGUACUCAGUGGGUAGGGGUAAAAUCCACUGAUCCAUUGAAGACCACCAGUGGCGAAGGCGGCUUGCCAGAACGCGCUCGACGGUGAGGGAUGAAAGCUGGGGGAGCAAACCGGA